GACUCGUCACACUAUCAUUAACUGAAUCCAUAGGUUAAUGAGGCGAACCGGGGGAACUGAAACAUCUAAGUACCCCGAGGAAAAGAAAUCAACCGAGAUUCCCCCAGUAGCGGCGAGCGAACGGGGAGGAGCCCAGAGCCUGAAUCAGCAUGUGUGUUAGUGGAAGCGUCUGGAAAGGCGCGCGAUACAGGGUGACAGCCCCGUACACAAAAGCGCAUGUGCUGUGAGCUCGAUGAGUAGGGCGGGACACGUGGUAUCCUGUCUGAAUAUGGGGGGACCAUCCUCCAAGGCUAAAUACUCCUGACUGACCGAUAGUGAACCAGUACCGUGAGGGAAAGGCGAAAAGAACCCCGGCGAGGGGAGUGAAAAAGAACCUGAAACCGUGUACGUACAAGCAGUGGGAGCCCCACCACUAAGCCAGUGGUGAACUCCACAUACGCAUCCUUUGCUGAGGAUACGGUUAACGGAGCGAAAGCGACGUUCAACCUCAAAAGAAGCAGAGGGGGCUUAGUGGUGGGGUGACUGCGUACCUUUUGUAUAAUGGGUCAGCGACUUAUAUUCUGUAGCAAGGUUAACCGAAUAGGGGAGCCGGAGGGAAACCGAGUCUUAAUUGGGCGUUAAGUUGCAGGGUAUAGACCCGAAACCCGGUGAUCUAGCCAUGGGCAGGUUGAAGGUUGGGUAACACUAACUGGAGGACCGAACCGACUAAUGUUGAAAAAUUAGCGGAUGACCUGUGGCUGGGGGUGAAAGGCCAAUCAAACCGGGAGAUAGCUGGUUCUCCCCGAAAGCUAUUUAGGUAGCGCCUCGUGAAUUCAUCUCCGGGGGUAGAGCACUGUUUCGGCUAGGGGGCCAUCCCGGCUUACCAACCCGAUGCAAACUGCGAAUACCGGAGAAUGUUAUCACGGGAGACACACGGCGGGUGCUAACGUCCGUCGUGAAGAGGGAAACAACCCAGACCGCCAGCUAAGGUCCCAAAGUCAUGGUUAAGUGGGAAACGAUGUGGGAAGGCCCAGACAGCCAGGAUGUUGGCUUAGAAGCAGCCAUCAUUUAAAGAAAGCGUAAUAGCUCACUGGUCGAGUCGGCCUGCGCGGAAGAUGUAACGGGGCUAAACCAUG
RNAcentral lists this ribosomal RNA (1115 nucleotides) under Salmonella enterica subsp. enterica serovar Give. Its description in RNAcentral is "partial 23S ribosomal RNA". It matches the Rfam family "Bacterial large subunit ribosomal RNA", at positions 137 to 1191 of the family's 2925-position model. Lineage: Bacteria; Pseudomonadati; Pseudomonadota; Gammaproteobacteria; Enterobacterales; Enterobacteriaceae. RNAcentral also lists the same sequence under 1 other name. The record is from RNAcentral.